AUAUAUGGCCUUUCCACCUCGCCUGUUCUUGGAAGCUAAGCAAGACCAGGCCUGGUUAGUGCUUGGAUGGGAGACCACUGGGAAUACGAGGUGUCACAGUG
RNAcentral lists this ribosomal RNA (101 nucleotides) under Periophthalmus magnuspinnatus. Lineage: Eukaryota; Metazoa; Chordata; Actinopteri; Gobiiformes; Gobiidae. The record is from RNAcentral.